UGGGGAAUAUUGCACAAUGGAGGGAACUCUGAUGCAGCGACGCCGCGUGAACGAAGAAGGCUUUCGAGUCGUAAAGUUCUUUUAUAUGGGAAGAUAAUGACGGUACCAUAAGAAAAAGCCCCGGCUAACUACGUGCCAGCAGCCGCGGUAAUACGUAUGGGGCUAGCGUUGUCCGGAAUCACUGGGCGUAAAGGGUUCGCAGGCGGAAAUGCAAGUCAGGUGUAAAAGGCAGUAGCUUAACUACUGUAAGCAUUUGAAACUGCAUAUCUUGAGAAGAGUAGAGGUAAGUGGAAUUUUUAGUGUAGCGGUGAAAUGCGUAGAUAUUAAAAAGAAUACCGGUGGCGAAGGCGACUUACUGGGCUCAUUCUGACGCUGAGGAACGAAAGCGUGGGUAGCAAACAGG
This 403-nucleotide ribosomal RNA is filed under the name bacterium. Its description in RNAcentral is "partial 16S ribosomal RNA". It matches the Rfam family "Bacterial small subunit ribosomal RNA", at positions 355 to 776 of the family's 1533-position model. The record is from RNAcentral.